GUGGGGAAUAUUGGACAAUGGGCGCAAGCCUGAUCCAGCAAUGCCGCGUGGGUGAAGAAGGUCUUCGGAUCGUAAAGCCCUUUCGACAGGGACGAUGAUGACGGUACCUAUAGAAGAAGCACCGGCUAACUUCGUGCCAGCAGCCGCGGUAAUACGAAGGGGGCUAGCGUUACUCGGAAUUACUGGGCGUAUAGGGCGCGUAGGCGGCACUGUUAGUCAGGCGUGAAAUUCUUGGGCUUAACCUGGGAACUGCGCUUGAUACUGCAGGGCUUGAGGCCGAGAGAGGGUGGUGGAAUUCCAAGUGUAGAGGUGAAAUUCGUAGAUAUUGGGAAGAACACCGGUGGCGAAGGCGACCACCUGGCUCAUUACUGACGCUGAGGCGCGAAAGCGUGGGGAGCAAACAGGAUUAGAAACCCCGGUAGUCC
RNAcentral lists this ribosomal RNA (425 nucleotides) under uncultured bacterium. RNAcentral describes it as "partial 16S ribosomal RNA". It matches the Rfam family "Bacterial small subunit ribosomal RNA", at positions 354 to 796 of the family's 1533-position model. The record is from RNAcentral.